Molecule: RNA transcript, 1691 nt
Organism: Lolium rigidum
Lineage: Eukaryota; Viridiplantae; Streptophyta; Magnoliopsida; Poales; Poaceae
Exons: 4
Source: RefSeq, a predicted model, not a curated record
UCACGACCCCUUCCAAGUGAAGACCUUCCGUCGCCCACCGCCGCCGCCUCCUACCGCACACACCUCGCCGGCGAUGGCCAUCGGCUCCGUUGGAUUCCCAACGUUCCCUGUAUCCACCAUGCACCCGCUGUCCGCGUCUGCGUAGGCCCUAGCUCUGGUUCAAUUUCAGCAUCCAGAUCCGACGCCAUGGAGGACGACGCCACCUCUGUCCAUCACCCAACCACCACAUCGGAUAGAGGGUGAGGAGUUCGAGGACGAGGCGACGAGGAUUUGCGCCGGCGACCUAGGCCACGAGGACCGCGACCCCCCCACUUCUACCAUCCUCCCAGCAGUAGGUCGCAACAAUGCUCCUCACGGCGCGGCCAACCAGCCCAUCGAUGUUGUCUCGAACAUCCGCUGGUACGCUGUGCCCCUAUCCGUCCGCAUCGCCACCGACGAGGAGGAUUGUUGCGACCUGAGCCUAAUCCACCUGGUUCGGCCGUCAAUCUCUACUUCCUGUUGGUCCUCCUCCUCCCCCGCCUGUUGCACCCUGUGGGACCCGAUGUGGAUGAUGUCCGCCACCAUGUCAUGCUCGGCUGCCUCAGUCGGAGACUAAGAAAGCUACGGUGGCCCUCCACUUUUCCUCCGGCAACCAUGCACUGUGAUGAUGUUCUGUUCCACCUCGCCUCCCCUGCCAUGUGGACUGCCUCCUUGAUUCCCAGGUACUGCCCCAUCUGCUCUCUUUCCAUAGUUAUGUGGUAAUAUGUUUGUAGUUUAGUUGAUGAUUGAUGCGCAUAGAAGGGUAAGAGGAGUCAAGGAGAAAAUGAAGUCAUUGCAUAGAGCUUCAUAACGAUUUCCAACUGGUCUGUUGCAUCUUCUCUGCAGUUUCCGAUGUUUCAUGUCUGAAUAGCCUAUGAUUUCUAUAGCUGUUUAUUGCUGAUUUCUUUACUGAUUUAAGCUAACAAUUCUCAUGAUAUUUGUGAUUCAGCAGGACCUAUCUUUUCCACAUACUUUCUAUGUUUCAUGAGAUUUGGCGAUUCAGUUAUAAGCCUGGUACUUUGAAAAAUGCACAGAACAGCCAUGGUGAUGUGCCAUUUUGGUUUAUUGAGAAUUUCAUGCAGUGGAUGGCAUGUCACCACGUUCUUCUCUCCUGGACCCUUUGUCCUUGGGCUGCAAGCUCCUGCGACACGGAUGUCGCCUUCAGGCUUCACAGGAAGCACAACAAAAGGAAAGAUGGUUUUUAGAAAAACAGGGGGGCCAAAUUUCCCCCAGCCCCAUUUUAUUGGAAAUGAAGCCAGGGUAAAACAGUGUACCAUGCGAGAUUACCCAACAUUCCAGAUGGUUUCGAUUUGAUUAUUUCAUCAACCACUUAAACAAGAUGUGUGGAGAUGUCACCAAGGUCAUCUUCUCUGCACACCCUGAGCAGCACCAACACGUCAAGUAUGCCUAGACAAAGGGCAGUCGCACUGGUUGGGUGCAGAUUUUACAAGUGUCUGGGAUUCUUGCUCUUCUCACAGGUUGUACGCCAUGCAGCUUGUGGAAUAGUGGUUAGUGAACCCUGCCUACUUUUUUCUAAUGCACCGUAGGAUUGUACAUAGCCAGAGCUAAUUACUAUUACAUAUAUGUGAUGUGUUUAUGUUCGUAUCCUACACUUAUGAGGGUUUUUUCAAUUAUUUCUUUUUUCAGCGAGUGGUUUGACAUAAAUAAUUUCU